UGAACGUUGUGACAAACUCAAGUCUCAACUGACAUUUGACAAUCAAAUAAAAUAUCAUUGAUUCCUAUUUGUAUUUACCUACAUAUUCAUGUGUUUGACGUUCAGAAAAAUGCAAAAUUUAAAAGUAAAUAGAAAAAAAAGCAAGGAGCUUAAAAAUCUAUUGCAGUUAUGUUCCUGCCAUUUUACGGAGAAGAUUGUCACAAAAGUAAAGUAAUGACUAACAUUAUCACAUGUGAGAGAAAAAUUUCGCAAAUUCAAUAAGCGUGUUGUGUGAAAAGUUAUCAUGUAAGAUCUGUAAAAUUAGCAAAUAUGUAGAAGAAA
Long non-coding RNA from Bombyx mori (domestic silkworm), 321 nucleotides. RefSeq lists it as uncharacterized. NCBI's taxonomy places the organism in Eukaryota, Metazoa, Arthropoda, Insecta, Lepidoptera, Bombycidae. The record is from RefSeq and is a predicted model, not a curated record. The transcript has 2 exons.